GACGAACGCUGGCGGCGUGCCUAAUACAUGCAAGUAGAACGCACAGUUUAUACCGUAGCUUGCUACACCAUAGACUGUGAGUUGCGAACGGGUGAGUAACGCGUAGGUAACCUGCCUGGUAGCGGGGGAUAACUAUUGGAAACGAUAGCUAAUACCGCAUAAUAUUGAUUAUUGCAUGAUAAUUAAUUGAAAGGUGCAAUUGCACCACUACCAGAUGGACCUGCGUUGUAUUAGCUAGUAGGUGAGGUAACGGCUCACCUAGGCGACGAUACAUAGCCGACCUGAGAGGGUGAUCGGCCACACUGGGACUGAGACACGGCCCAGACUCCUACGGGAGGCAGCAGUAGGGAAUCUUCGGCAAUGGACGAAAGUCUGACCGAGCAACGCCGCGUGAGUGAAGAAGGUUUUCGGAUCGUAAAGCUCUGUUGUAAGAGAAGAGUGGGUGUGAGAGUGGAAAGUUCACACUGUGACGGUAUCUUACCAGAAAGGGACGGCUAACUACGUG
This 505-nucleotide ribosomal RNA is filed under the name uncultured bacterium. RNAcentral describes it as "partial 16S ribosomal RNA". It matches the Rfam family "Bacterial small subunit ribosomal RNA", at positions 28 to 507 of the family's 1533-position model. The record is from RNAcentral.